GGACUGAGUGGCGGACGGGUGAGUAACACGUGAGCAAUCUGCCUUUCAGAGGGGGAUACCGAUUGGAAACGAUCGUUAAUACCGCAUAACAUAAUUGAACCGCAUGAUUUGAUUAUCAAAGAUUUAUCGCUGAAAGAUGAGCUCGCGUCUGAUUAGCUAGUUGGUAAGGUAACGGCUUACCAAGGCGACGAUCAGUAGCCGGACUGAGAGGUUGAUCGGCCACAUUGGGACUGAGACACGGCCCAGACUCC
This 251-nucleotide ribosomal RNA is filed under the name uncultured Eubacteriales bacterium. Its description in RNAcentral is "uncultured Clostridiales bacterium partial 16S ribosomal RNA". It matches the Rfam family "Bacterial small subunit ribosomal RNA", at positions 88 to 339 of the family's 1533-position model. The record is from RNAcentral. Lineage: Bacteria; Bacillati; Bacillota; Clostridia; Eubacteriales.